RNAcentral lists this ribosomal RNA (253 nucleotides) under uncultured bacterium. RNAcentral's name for it is "partial 16S ribosomal RNA". It matches the Rfam family "Bacterial small subunit ribosomal RNA", at positions 524 to 776 of the family's 1533-position model. The record is from RNAcentral.
UACGUAGGGUGCAAGCGUUGUCCGGAAUUAUUGGGCGUAAAGAGCUCGUAGGCGGUCUGUCGCGUCUGCUGUGAAAACUCAGGGCUUAACCCUGAGCUUGCAGUGGGUACGGGCAGACUAGAGUGCGGUAGGCGAGACUGGAAUUCCUGGUGUAGCGGUGAAAUGCGCAGAUAUCAGGAGGAACACCGGUGGCGAAGGCGGGUCUCUGGGCCGUAACUGACGCUGAGGAGCGAAAGCAUGGGGAGCGAACAGG